Myotis myotis is the source of this 1243-nucleotide long non-coding RNA. RefSeq lists it as uncharacterized. Lineage: Eukaryota; Metazoa; Chordata; Mammalia; Chiroptera; Vespertilionidae. The transcript has 2 exons. The record is from RefSeq and is a predicted model, not a curated record.
CAUCGAUGUUCCUAACUAUCCCUCUCCCUUCCUUUCUGUAAAAAAAUCAAUAAAAUAUAUUUAAAAAAAUAAAAAUGCAACUUAAAAAACUCACGUUUCUAUUCUGUCUUUGGAGCUGCAGGGUUAGUGGCUGAUGAGAAACUACUGAUGAGAGGAGGAAUGGUGUGCAAUAAAGCCUUCAAUAGCAGCGUUGUCCGUGUUUGAGGUCUUCUGGAGAAUUCUCUUGUUCUUUCAUUUGGGGCUUGUUUUUUUUGUCUCUCCAUUUUGGCUGCCUGUUUGGGUUUGUGUCUGUGUAUUAGGUAGGUCUGAUAGCUACAAUGGUGUUUGCUGUAUUUUUCUAUGCAUACUGAUCGCUUCAAAUAUUUCAUAAUAAAGGUUAAAUGAGUCUGAGCUGUUCAGAAACACAGUACAAAAACCACGUAUAAAGGAGUAAAGUAAUGAAAUAAUUUGGUAACGUUGAGCACCCACAGUGGUCCAGGCACAGUGCUAGGUAUCUGGGAGUUCAUGUAAGCCUCAUGCUUACUAUAUAACUCUUUUCUGCGCAUGUAUUGAUCACACAUGCAGCAAAGGUAAAUGCCAACAACUUAAAUAAAAAGGAGACCAUUUUUUAAAGAGUUAGGUAGCAGAUAGUUCAUUGAACUCUGUAAUUCUGUCAGAAAUUAUGAAAAGGGGAAAAUUGAUUUGAUUUCAAUUUAUUAAAUAGUUAUUGAGGCAUUAGGGAUUCAGAGAUUAAUAAGACACAGAGCCUGCUAUUAGGAAACUCAAUUCUAGAGGGGCAGAUAAACCAAUAAACAAUAAUUACAGAACAGUGUGAUAAGUAGUAUAAUAAAGGUGAAGAGGAGGUAGUAAGGAAGCUAUUAAUUUUGAUGUUGGAAGUGAGUAGAUGGGAAAAGGAAUUAACAUUUGACCUGGACUUUUAAAGAUGAAUAGAUUUGGAAGCUUAGAAGACCAUUCUAGUCAGAGGAAGAAAAGCAUCUGUAAUAUGAGUGCUUAUUAGAUGCCAGAUUCUUUGUAGAUUAUUGUAGUUCUCACAACAAUCUUGUGAAAUAAGGGGUCUUAUUGUUUUGUUUUUUAAAUGAUGACAGUUGCUGUGGAUUUGAAAGUGAAUGAUAGAAAUAAGUAUGAUAUGACUAGGAUUUGUACCCAGGUCUAUUUGACUUCAAAGCCACCUUGUACCCUUUUCCUUAUUCAUUCAUUUUUUUUCAUAAGCAAAGGCACAGUUCCAUCUCUGGUAAAAGAUGGG